AUGUACAUUCCUACAAUUUAGCGUUAGUGCAUCGGAUCCCAUUAGAACUCCGCAGUUAAGCACGCUCAGGCUAGAGUAGUACUGGGAUGGGUGACUUCUUGGGAAGUCCUAGUAUUUUACAUG
This is a non-coding RNA of Picea glauca (white spruce), 123 nucleotides long. NCBI's taxonomy places the organism in Eukaryota, Viridiplantae, Streptophyta, Pinopsida, Pinales, Pinaceae. The record is from Rfam.